Molecule: ribosomal RNA, 471 nt
Filed under: uncultured marine eukaryote
Lineage: Eukaryota
Description: bacterial SSU rRNA
Rfam family: Eukaryotic small subunit ribosomal RNA
Source: RNAcentral
AACCUGGUUGAUCCUGCCAGUAGUCAUAUGCUUGUCUCAAAGAUUAAGCCAUGCAUGUCUCAGUAUGAGUCUUCACACGGCGAAACUGCGAAUGGCUCAUUAAAACAGUUAUAGUUUAUUUGAUUGUCAAACAGUAUAAGGAUAACUGUGGUAAUUCUAGAGCUAAUACUUGUGCAAACGCCCAACUCUUCGGACGGGCUGUAUUUAUUAGAUACAGAACCAAUACCUUCGGGUUUUUGGAUGAUUCAUGAUAAAUGAACGGAGCGCAUGGCUUGUGCCGGCGCUGUAUCAUUCAAGUUUCUGACCUAUCAGCUUUCGACGGUAGGGUGUUGGCCUACCGUGGCAUUGACGGGUAACGGAGAAUUAGGGUUCGAUUCCGGAGAGGGAGCCCGAGAAACGGCUACCACAUCUAAGGAAGGCAGCAGGCGCGCAUAUUACCCCAAUCCUGAUACAGGGGAGGUAUGUGACCAA